This 45-nucleotide non-coding RNA is filed under the name Leuconostoc mesenteroides subsp. mesenteroides ATCC 8293. The record is from RNAcentral. RNAcentral also lists the same sequence under 2 other names. Lineage: Bacteria; Bacillati; Bacillota; Bacilli; Lactobacillales; Lactobacillaceae.
GGUUGGGCGAAAGCUUCAAGAAGUUAACUAGUCGGGGAGCUAGUU